This 1846-nucleotide long non-coding RNA is filed under the name Homo sapiens (human). RNAcentral describes it as "HSALNT0117016". The record is from RNAcentral. Lineage: Eukaryota; Metazoa; Chordata; Mammalia; Primates; Hominidae.
AGGAGGGGGAAUUCAGGGCCCAGCUCUGAAGUCGGAGGACAGUCAUGGUUCUAAUGCUCUCACUCAAGUCCAGGCCAGAGGUGAGGAAGAAAACGAGGAAGGAUGAAGGAAUAUUUCAGAAAUGGAAUUGGUGAGAUUUGGAGCAUCAUAAGGAACAGUAAGUGGCCUGUGCUGGUGGAUGGGAGAGGAGGAGGAAGCAGCUGCCAUCCUGUAUUUUCUGAAAGCUUUGGCCUGGAGUCAGCCAUGAUGAGGGAAUUCACAGGCAGCAGAACUCCUGAGACACAUCCAUCGUCUGUCUAGAAAAAUGGUCCCCUGAGACUGAGAGUGUGAGAGCCCAGAACCAAUAUAUGUACAAUUACCUACCUUCCUGUUCCACUCAUGCAAACUAACAGAAUAUGAAGCAAGGAAUCAGUGACUCUCUCUAUUCAUAAGGAGUUUCCUAAUUCUGUGUAAAUAAAUUUCAAAUAUUUCAGUCAUGCUUGUCAUUUGUACAAAGUUUUAAAAUUCUGGAACUCAUCUGAGCUUGUAAUCAUUGCUGGUAGGGCUCAAGCUUUUAGUCUCCAAGGGCCUUUCACUUGUGACUUGAACAGUGAAUCCAAAAGUAAAAGCUCGGCAUAGGGUGAAUGUCGUGCAGGUCACAGAGUGGACCCCACAGCCCAGAUGAAGGUUCUCUCAGCACCAAGAAGGGGGACGAAGGGAGGGCUCAGGCCAGCAGGAGCCUGGGCAGCGGCCUGACCUCUGCCUGCAUUCUUGUCCACCCACUCUAGACAGUUGAGUUCUGGUUCUGAGGAGUGGGUGACAGAACCCGUCCAAGUUAGGACCAAAAGACUGAGCACUGAGAGUUCUCUCCCCAGGUGAAGCAGCAGCAGGAAGCCUGCCUUAGAAAGGACACCUCUGGUCCCCUUGGAGUGGCAGUCACAGAACAGAAGCGGGGCACAGUGGGUCCAGGCAGAGAGGCAUAGAGAUGGCUCUGCUGCAGUGACUCAAUCUGUGUCCCCCAAAAUUCAAGUGUAGAAAUCCUCACCCCCAAAGUCAUGGCAUUCGGAGGCGGGGCCUUUGGGAGCUGAUGAGGUCACAGAGGUGGGGCCUUGAGAAUGGGUGCACGCCAUUAGUCUUGCAAUUAAUGCUAUCGGUGAAUUGGAUGCGCAUCGUUAGUCUUCGAAUUUAUACUAUCGGAGAAUGGAGUGCAAGGGCACCAUUAGUCUUGGAAUUUAUACUAUUGGGGAAUGGGAUGAGUGUUGUUAAUCUUGGAAUUUAUACUUUUGGGGAAUGGGAUGAGAACCGUUAGUCUUGGAAUUUCUGCUAUCCAGGAAUGGAGUGCAAGGGCACCAUCAGUCUUGGAAUUUAUGCUAUCGGGGAGUGUGAUGGGCCCCAUUUAGUCUUGUAAUUUAUACUAUUGGGGAAUGGGAUGGGCCCCAUUAGUCUUGGAAUUUAUAUUAUUGGGGAAUGCAAUGGGCACCAUCAGUCUUGGAAUUUAUGCUAUCGGGGAAUGGGAUGGGCAACAUGAUUCUUGGAAUUCAUACUAUUGGGGAAUGGUAUGUGCCCCGUUAUUCUUGGAACUUAUGCUAUUGGGGAAUGGGAUACACAUCAUUAGUCUUGGAAUUUAUGCUAUGGAGGAAUGGCAGCUCAGACAAAUAGAGAAUUCACAGAUCAUAAUAAUUCAGUCAUAUUAUAUCUAUUAAGCUGAAAAACAGGUUCUAUGUAAUAUCAUUAAAAAAAGUUUGGCACCUGAUUUUCAAUGUUUAUGAAGUUGCAGGUGUGGACUUUAUUCCAAAUAAAUAAUUAUUAUAUGCAUCCCUUAGUUUUGUAACCACCACUUCAGACAGUCUUCUAAAUAAAAUGUUUU